RNAcentral lists this long non-coding RNA (659 nucleotides) under Salmo salar (Atlantic salmon). RNAcentral describes it as "lncRNA (ENSSSAG00000088257.1)". The record is from RNAcentral. Lineage: Eukaryota; Metazoa; Chordata; Actinopteri; Salmoniformes; Salmonidae.
AGACGGAGGAGGAGGGAAGCUCCGAGCUGGACAGAGAGAUGAAGAGGGACUCUGGCAUGCAAGAGUCUCCUAUGGAAGAAGCCCCAGUGCCUGUGGAGGCUAUAGUGGAGGAACAUGUGGCUCUACCAGACAGAGAACAGGAGACCGACUAGAGAGGUCACUGCUGAGGGGCUGUUGAGAUAAGCUUUCAGUGUGGUGUCCUCGUUCCUCCUUAGGUUUGGCAAGGUCACCUUCUACUCUCUGCUGCCCCUGGAGGCAGACUGCAGUACUGUAGCUCACAUGCUCUCCAAACCGCUUGAGCUGGUAUCUGCUAGGGAGCUGGAAGUACAUCAGGCUGAACCAUACAGCCCCAUCACCAUCAUCCCUGGACCACUCAGCACCCGUGCACGCCUGAGGAAUACAGAGGAUGUCCACACACACUCACACACACACACACACACACACACACACACACACACACACACACACACACACACACACACACACACACACACACACACACACACAGCGGAUGUGUGCGGCCGUACUUUUAAAACUAAUAAUGUUCAUUCAUGUCCCAAAUUUCAUUCCUGUGAGAUCAUCACCUCAAACUGUUUUGUAGCACACGUGAUGACCUCUUGAGUUUUGUAACAUUUUUUGUAAAACAUUUAUAAGUGAAG